RNAcentral lists this ribosomal RNA (253 nucleotides) under uncultured bacterium. RNAcentral describes it as "partial 16S ribosomal RNA". It matches the Rfam family "Bacterial small subunit ribosomal RNA", at positions 524 to 776 of the family's 1533-position model. The record is from RNAcentral.
UACGGAGGAUCCGAGCGUUAUCCGGAUUUAUUGGGUUUAAAGGGAGCGUAGGUGGAUUGUUAAGUCAGUUGUGAAAGUUUGCGACUCAACCGUAAAAUUGCAGUUGAAACUGGCAGUCUUGAGUACAGUAGAGGUGGGCGGAAUUCGUGGUGUAGCGGUGAAAUGCUUAGAUAUCACGAAGAACUCCGAUUGCGAAGGCAGCUCACUGGACUGCAACUGACACUGAGGCUCGAAAGUGUGGGUAUCAAACAGG